Molecule: ribosomal RNA, 253 nt
Filed under: uncultured bacterium
Lineage: Bacteria
Description: partial 16S ribosomal RNA
Rfam family: Bacterial small subunit ribosomal RNA
Source: RNAcentral
UACGUAGGGCGCAAGCGUUGUCCGGAAUUAUUGGGCGUAAAGAGCUCGUAGGUGGUUUGUCGCGUCUGCCGUGAAAGCCCGGGGCUUAACCCCGGGUCUGCAUUCGAUACGGGCAGGCUAGAGUGUGGUAGGGGAGAUCGGAAUUCCUGGUGUAGCGGUGAAAUGCGCAGAUAUCAGGAGGAACACCGGUGGCGAAGGCGGUUCUCUGGGCAUUACCUGACGCUGAGGAGCGAAAGUGUGGGGAGCGAACAGG